Harmonia axyridis is the source of this 74-nucleotide non-coding RNA. The record is from the annotation of a RefSeq genome assembly. NCBI's taxonomy places the organism in Eukaryota, Metazoa, Arthropoda, Insecta, Coleoptera, Coccinellidae.
UCCUCGAUAGCUCAGUUGGUGAGAGCACCGGACUGGUGAUUCGGAGAUUGCGGGUUCGGGUCCCGUUCGAGGAG